AGGGUGUUGUCCAGGAUCACGCCAAGGUUCUUAGCACUCUGGGAGGAGGACACAAGGGAGUUGUCAACCGUGAUGGCGAGAUCAUGUUUUGAUUUAUUUAUAUGCACAAUGUUUUUUGAUGUCAUACAUUUUUGCAAGCAUAUCUGAUUUGCAGUACACACAAUAUGCCAGACAAUCAUCCCCAAUUACUGGCUUCAGCCACCCUUUAAAUUCAGGUACAGACUCCCACUCUUUUCUGUACUUCUGGCUGUACAAUUUUGAUUGAGACAUGUUGAUUGAUGUUGUAAGUUCUGUUCAAGAUCAAACAUUUGUGACCAACUAUAUUCAUUGGGUUUGUCUCGUCGAACCCGUACUACUGCUGCUGCAGUCAGCCAACAAUGAUUUGCAAUUUGCGGAAAUUGCUACUGGCCUACUGCUGCCUGUGCACGAGCUGAGCGCCUGCUGCUUACAUCACUCACAAUACACUUUUGCAGCCAGGGUUACUCUCUUUUCAGAAUCUGUGGAUGGAACCUGUGUUGCCCCUGGCAAAUAUCUCAGUGAUUGAUAGCUCCCUCUCGCAGGGGGGUCGACCUCGGUAACGGAUGUAGCGAGCUUUACGAGCCUCGGCCAGCGAUUGGUUGAAAUCAGGCAGGAGGUGGAGCGUUCUGGGCCGACCAUCAGCAGCGAGGAAGUCGGAGGGGGGAGGAGGGAGAGGAUAAGACUCCUCUUUCUCUCUGUCUCUCUCUGUCCUCCCAUUCUCUUCCUCCUUCUUUCGCGUUGCCCUCCACUCUCUCCCCCUCACAUCUUCUCUCUCCCUCUCAGCUCUCCCCUCCCUCCCUUCCGCUUCCCCUUUCUCCCUCAGCCCAGUGCUGGUCAAUUCUGCUGCAGGCUGCAGUUUGAGGUCUGGCAGGCAGAGUGGCGCCACUGAGCUCUCUGCCCCGUGUCUCUGUGGGUCUGCAGAGCUGCAGAGGAAGUCAUGGACCCGAGCCUGGAGUGCAGCCAGACCAGACACUCCCCCACACACAGCUUUCACUGACCUGAGACAAUGAGGGGGGGAGACAGAGUGCGAGAGAGGGAGAGAGAGAGAAAUAGAGAUAAUCAGUCAGACAACACACGACUGCAUACACAUGUACGCACGCACACACACAACAAACUAUCAGUAUCCACCUUGUGUCACCAUGUUGUGACUCAGUGUCUGUUUAUUGGCUAUAACAAAUGUUUUUGGACAACAAAACAAUCAUACCCAGACACACACAUAAACAAACAAGGGGCCAGCUUUGUGGAUUCAGUAAAAUGCUGCAUUGAACAACAGAGAAAGAGAUAGCGGGAGGGAGAAAUAAAUAAAUGGAACCAGGAAGGGGACUAUAAAUCCACUAGAAGUUGGCAGAGGGAUGCACAUCAUAAAAGAAAAUGAGUUUAGAAUCAGUCUGUUAAAAGAGCCAGCAUGGAUCUCUGCCAAGCCACAGCACAGAGAAAAACAGAGACACACACACACAUCAGUGGAGAAGCAGAAUCUGUAUGUAGAGUAGUAUAGAACAGUGUUUGUAAACCACCCACAUACACUAGUUAACAGUAAGAGAGGGGAAAGCCCAGCAGCCUACCAGUUAGAGAGAGGAGAAGGGGGUAUGAAGCAGUAGAAUAUGCAUAGAUAUGGGAUAUGAGCUAUAAUUGUGAAUGUCUCUCAAACGCACACAUACUAAUUUCUCUCUCUCUCAAGAGGAUGACAGUCAAACCCACAGUGACAGAAAGCUCUGUUUGUGUGUAUCUCAGAGUGAGGUUUUAAGCGUCUCGUUAUCUGUCCCCUUGAUUAGCAUAAUUAGCCAGUCCGAAUCCCCAUCCUCCAAUUUAUCUCUGAUGUGAAGAGCUCACCUGUGUUUCUUUGGGUCUCUGGUGGCCCGUGGGAUUGUGGGUAGGGUAGUCCUGCAGGGCAUGAAGAGAUGGGAGGGGUCAGGGUUGACAGGUCGCGACACCAUAGGGUGAAGGCUCCUCCUCCAAGGGUUACCUGGGGUCACACAGAUACUGGUCAGCUCACGCACGCACACACGCGCACACACGCACGCACACACACACAAGCAUCUCUCUCACCGGUCCUGAUGUUGAGCAGGUCUCUGUGUAAUCUUCGUUGUUCUGUGGUGAGUGUGUUGAGGUGGUAGCUCGUGGCCUGCUCCAGUCUCUGUAAUCCCCCCUGCAGGCGAGCCUGAGCUCUGUGCUCCUCUCUCCUUUGGGCCUCACUGCCCUGGCACAGCCCCCUGCCACCACCACCACCACGACGCAUGGCUCUCUCACACCUCCUGACAUACAUAAAUACAUAGAGUUAGAUACUGUCUGUUACUGUACAACUGAAAGAUCGGAUCACCUGGGUGACAACCUGCAUCCCCACAUCUGUCAGUCCAACAAAUGAGCCAUUACACUGAGAGGUUGAAGGUGUUAAUUUAGGAUUUUUUUGGUACGAUGUUUACAUUUUUUGUAAGACUUUUUCUUUGCGUUAUAUCUUGCCCAGACCCACCUGGCCAGACCCACAUGCUCACACCCCCAUCUCCAGCAUCACUCUCCGCCACAUGGCCUCAAACUGCACUAUUUUGUUUCUCUCCGUCACCAAUGCACCUUCAACAUUUAAAUAAUAAAGCAUUUGACCUUUCCAUUGUGUUAAUGACGGAGGAAAGUACACAUUUUUUCAAGAUGAUUGACAAGACAAGUAUCAUCCAACCCAUAGGGUAUCUAACUGCACCCUCAUAUGCCAUGUCUUGAAAUAUGCAGACAGACGGAUUAAAAGUACAUUUAGAUUGUAAUACUUAUGACAGCCAACAUACUAACUCCGCC
This 2799-nucleotide long non-coding RNA is filed under the name Salmo salar (Atlantic salmon). Its description in RNAcentral is "lncRNA (ENSSSAG00000092413.1)". The record is from RNAcentral. Lineage: Eukaryota; Metazoa; Chordata; Actinopteri; Salmoniformes; Salmonidae.